UCGAGAGGCUUCCACAAUGGGGGAAACCCUGAUGGAGCGACGCCGCGUGGGUGAUGAAGGUCUUCGGAUCGUAAAACCCUUUCAGCAAGGAAGAAUGUACGGGUGAUAAUACCACUCGAUGCAAGACGGUACUUGCAGAAGAAGCUCCGGCUAACUCCGUGCCAGCAGCCGCGGUAAGACGGAGGGAGCAAGCGUUGUUCGGAUUUACUGGGCGUAAAGGGCGUCUAGGCGGGUUAGUCAGUCAGAUGUGAAACCCCCCGGCUCAACCGGGGACCGGCAUUUGAUACUACUAAUCUUGAGUACGGAAGAGGAAAGCGGAAUUCCUGGUGUAGCGGUGAAAUGCGUAGAUAUCAGGAAGAACACCGGUGGCGAAGGCGGCUUUCCGGUCCGAUACUGACGCUAAAGCGCGAAAGUGUGGGGAGCAAACAGGAUUAGAUACCCUGGUAGUCCACACUGUAAACGAUGGAUACUAGGUGUCGGGGGUAUCGACCCCCCCGGUGCCGCAGCUAACGCAUUAAGUAUCCCGCCUGGGGAGUACGGUCGCAAGGCUG
Molecule: ribosomal RNA, 551 nt
Filed under: uncultured bacterium
Lineage: Bacteria
Description: bacterial SSU rRNA
Rfam family: Bacterial small subunit ribosomal RNA
Source: RNAcentral